RNAcentral lists this ribosomal RNA (503 nucleotides) under uncultured Chloroflexota bacterium. RNAcentral describes it as "bacterial SSU rRNA". It matches the Rfam family "Bacterial small subunit ribosomal RNA", at positions 355 to 873 of the family's 1533-position model. The record is from RNAcentral. Lineage: Bacteria; Bacillati; Chloroflexota.
UGAGGAAUAUUGCUCAAUGGGCGAAAGCCUGAAGCAGCAACGCCGCGUGCGCGAUGAAGGCCUUCGGGUCGUAAAGCGCUUUUGAGAGGGACGAGAUAGGACGGUACCUCUGGAAUAAGUCACGGCUAACUACGUGCCAGCAGCCGCGGUAAAACGUAGGUGGCAAGCGUUAUCCGGAUUCACUGGGCGUAAAGCGCGUGCAGGUGGCUUCGUAAGUUGGACGUUAAAUCUCCCGGCCUAACCGGGAGGAGUCGUUCAAUACUGCGGGGCUGGAGGGCAGAAGAGGGGGGUGGAAUCGCUGGUGUAGUGGUGAAAUGCGUAGAUAUCAGCAGGAACACCUGUGGCGAAAGCGGCCCCCUGGUCUGCUCCUGACACUCAGACGCGAAAGCUAGGGGAGUGAACGGGAUUAGAAACCCCGGUAAUCCUAGCCGUAAACGAUGGAUGCUAGGUGUGGGUGGUAUUGACCCCAUCCGUGCCGAAGCUAACGCGUUAAGCAUCCCGCU